UACGGAGGGUGCAAGCGUUGUCCGGAAUCACUGGGCGUAAAGGGCGCGUAGGCGGCCACCGCAAGUCGAUUGUGAAAUCUCCGGGCUUAACCCGGAAAGGUCAACCGAUACUGCGGGGCUAGAGUGCAGAAGGGGCAACUGGAAUUCUCGGUGUAGCGGUGAAAUGCGUAGAUAUCGAGAGGAACACCUGCGGCGAAGGCGGGUUGCUGGGCUGACACUGACGCUGAUGCGCGAAAGCUAGGGGAGCGAACGGG
This 254-nucleotide ribosomal RNA is filed under the name uncultured bacterium. RNAcentral's name for it is "partial 16S ribosomal RNA". It matches the Rfam family "Bacterial small subunit ribosomal RNA", at positions 524 to 776 of the family's 1533-position model. The record is from RNAcentral.